This 404-nucleotide ribosomal RNA is filed under the name uncultured bacterium. RNAcentral describes it as "partial 16S ribosomal RNA". It matches the Rfam family "Bacterial small subunit ribosomal RNA", at positions 28 to 526 of the family's 1533-position model. The record is from RNAcentral.
GAUGAACGCUGACAGCAUGCUUAACACAUGCAAGUCAACUGUGGCGGACGGGUGAGUAACGCGUAAAGAACUUGCCUCACAGCUAGGGACAACAUUUGGAAACGAAUGCUAAUACCUAAUACUGUGAGAGAGCUUUGGGUCCCAUUAGCUAGUUGGAGAGGUAACGGCUCACCAAGGCGAGGCUGGGUAGCCGGCCUGAGAGGGUGAUCGGCAACAAGGGGACUGGGACACGGCCCUUACGCAUACGUGAGGAAGUAGUGGGGAAUAUAGAUAAAUGGACCAAAGUCUGAGCCAGCAAUUCUGUGUGCACGAUGAAGUUUUCGGAAUGUAAAGUGCUGUCAGUAUGGAAGCGUUACCAACAGAAGAAGUGACGGCUAAAUACGUGCCAGCAGCCGCGGUAAUAC